ACUCCCGCAUGCCCCGCAUCCAUCACACGCCCGCCUGCUGCCGCUGGGUCGCAGACGGGCAGGGAGGCCGGCUCAGUGGGGGCAGCCGCGCUCUCCUGCCCCCCGACCUGCCCCUCUCUGGGGGCGUCUGGGUUCAGCCGCCCAGCAGACGCAAGGUGGGCUCACAUCUCUGUCCCAGCUUUCAGCCAAGCUUCCGGAGGGUCCCAUUUGGACGAGCAAACGUUUCUUGGGAAAAAGGCCCAGGCUGGGUGACGCCAGGAGGGGCUCUAGAGCUGGAGCCUGGAGAGGGGGCCACGGGUGCAUCCAGGUGGCAUCCAGGCACCCCUGUCACAGGCUGUCCGGGACCCCACAGCAGCCCCCAGCCUCCAUGGCCCCGGGCCCAUGGCUCUGACUCCAGGACCCCAGUGUCUGACCUGGGCAGGCUCAGGAAAAGAAACAAAAGACAAACGUGAAGAAAUCCUGGGGAGGAAUGAAGGUGGGAACUGUCCUCUGUGAGCGACCUCCGAUCUCGAAACCUGAGCCAGCUAACCCGUCACUGGUGCGAGGGGCUGAGCAGCCACCUGCCCUGCCACCCACCAGCCUCCCUGCUGGCCCUGGAGGAGGUGGGCUCUGGACCAGCCUGGUCAACCCCCGAGGCUGGCACGCGGUUGGGCACUCUCCCUUGGAACGGACACCAAGCAGCGACAGUUCCCGGGUGUGAGUUAGCUCUCGGGGGAUGCCCGCCAGCCAGUUGACUUGGAGCCUCAAGAUGUGGGGUUUUGGCCCCACUCACCCCCCAACACACCUCCGGGCCUCAAUGUCCCCUUCUUUAAAUGGAGAAGGCUGGUCUCGGUGACCUGGAAGAUACCUGCCGGUCCCACAUGAAAUCCUGUGACCCUAAGGAAGGUGGGCGGGCAGGGAGAUACCCCUGGUUGCCCCAGGAAGUCAUACCUGAGUGGCUUUUAGAUCAUAGGGGUCAACCUUUCUGUCCCCUUUGAAGUAUUUAUCGAGCUCGUGUUUGCGGAGGGCUGACCGCGGGCCAGGAGUUGUCCACGCACUUCUCAGCACUGUCUCACUUAAUGUUCCACAGACCUACCGGGCCCUUGUAUUGUCUCCAGUUUAUAGCUGUGGGAACCCAGGCACAGAGAGGUUAGGCUGUCUGCUUGAGGUCACACAGCUGUCAGCACGCUCCUGCCUGAUCUCCAACCCGGGGCUCCCAGGGAGCUGCAAAGUGCUCCUUUAAGCUUUGGGGCGGGGGGGGUCUCACUGUCAGGAACCGGGGCAGCCUAUCUUAACAUGCAGGCCAGAAGACCUCCCAGAAUCUCAUGAGCCCACCAAGGCCUCCCACAAAACUCCGUGGACACCCAAAACCUAAUGAUAUUUGUAGAAAUCCUUUCCAAAGCAGCUGUUCAAAUAAGGCGCCUCGUUAGUCAAGAAGCUGGCGUGGUCGGGGAACACACAACAGCUGGGUUC
This 1452-nucleotide long non-coding RNA is filed under the name Bos indicus x Bos taurus (hybrid cattle). RNAcentral's name for it is "lncRNA (ENSBIXG00000007327.1)". The record is from RNAcentral. Lineage: Eukaryota; Metazoa; Chordata; Mammalia; Artiodactyla; Bovidae.